Molecule: ribosomal RNA, 492 nt
Filed under: uncultured bacterium
Lineage: Bacteria
Description: partial 16S ribosomal RNA
Rfam family: Bacterial small subunit ribosomal RNA
Source: RNAcentral
AGUGAACGCUGGCGGUAGGCCUAACACAUGCAAGUCGAACGGCAGCACAGUAAGAGCUUGCUCUUACGGGUGGCGAGUGGCGGACGGGUGAGGAAUACAUCGGAAUCUACUUUUUCGUGGGGGAUAACGUAGGGAAACUUACGCUAAUACCGCAUACGACCUACGGGUGAAAGCAGGGGAUCUUCGGACCUUGCGCGAUUGAAUGAGCCGAUGUCGGAUUAGCUAGUUGGCGGGGUAAAGGCCCACCAAGGCGACGAUCCGUAGCUGGUCUGAGAGGAUGAUCAGCCACACUGGAACUGAGACACGGUCCAGACUCCUACGGGAGGCAGCAGUGGGGAAUAUUGGACAAUGGGCGCAAGCCUGAUCCAGCCAUACCGCGUGAGUGAAGAAGGCCUUCGGGUUGUAAAGCCCUGUUGUUGGGAAAGAAAAGCAGCAGGUUAAUACCCCGCUGUUCUGACGGUACCCAAAGAAUAAGCACCGGCUAACUUCGUG